RNAcentral lists this non-coding RNA (474 nucleotides) under Egretta garzetta (little egret). Its description in RNAcentral is "Eukaryotic large subunit ribosomal RNA". It matches the Rfam family "Eukaryotic large subunit ribosomal RNA", at positions 2393 to 3001 of the family's 3401-position model. Lineage: Eukaryota; Metazoa; Chordata; Aves; Pelecaniformes; Ardeidae. The record is from Rfam by way of RNAcentral.
ACCAGCGGGGAAAGAAGACCCUGUUGAGCUUGACUCUAGCCUGGCGCUGUGAAGAGACACGAGAGGUGUAGAAUAAGUGGGAGGCCGGGCACGCCCUUGGCGGGGGGGCUCUCGCUUCCGGCGCCAAGCCCCUGGUGCGUGCCAGGCACGACGCGCUCCGGGGGCAGCGGCAGGCGGGGGGUUGGGACAGUACACCCGUCAAAGCGUAACGCAGGUGUCCUACGGCAAGCUCAGGGAGGACGGAAACCUCCCAAGGAGCAGAAGGGCAAAAGCUCGCUUGACCUUGAUUUUCAGUACGAAUGCAGGCAGUGGAAGCGGGGCCUUGCGAUCCUUCUGGCUUUCUCGGUCUUAAGCAGGAGGCUAGAACCUGCCUGAAGGCUACGCAGCGCAUCGGUGACGGGACAAGACAUAGGCAGCUGCUCUUGGUCUGGGCUGUAAUUGUUCCACUUCAUCACUUACUGUUACACUGCUGGU